UUGGGCAAGUCUGGUGCCAGCAGCCGCGGUAAUUCCAGCUCCAAUAGCGUAUAUUAAAGUUAUUGCAGUUAAAAAGCUCGUAGUUGAACCUUGGGCCUGGCUGGCCGGUCCGCCUCACCGCGAGUACUGGUCCGGCUGGGCCUUUCCUUCUGGGGAACCUCAUGGCCUUCACUGGCUGUGGGGGGAACCAGGACUUUUACUGUGAAAAAAUUAGAGUGUUCAAAGCAGGCCUUUGCUCGAAUACAUUAGCAUGGAAUAAUAGAAUAGGACGUGCGGUUCUAUUUUGUUGGUUUCUAGGACCGCCGUAAUGAUUAAUAGGGAUAGUCGGGGGCGUCAGUAUUCAGCUGUCAGAGGUGAAAUUCUUGGAUUUGCUGAAGACUAACUACUGCGAAAGCAUUCGCCAAGGAUGUUUUCAUUAAUCAGGGAACGAAAGUUAGGGGAUCGAAGACGAUCAGAUACCGUCGUAGUCUUAACCAUAAACUAUGCCGACUAGGGAUCGGACGGGAUUCUAUGAUGACCCGUUCGGCACCUUACGGGAAAC
Molecule: ribosomal RNA, 541 nt
Filed under: uncultured Penicillium
Lineage: Eukaryota; Fungi; Ascomycota; Eurotiomycetes; Eurotiales; Aspergillaceae
Description: SSU rRNA
Rfam family: Eukaryotic small subunit ribosomal RNA
Source: RNAcentral